Molecule: ribosomal RNA, 378 nt
Filed under: uncultured eukaryote
Lineage: Eukaryota
Description: partial 18S ribosomal RNA
Rfam family: Eukaryotic small subunit ribosomal RNA
Source: RNAcentral
CAAUAGCGUAUAUUUAAGUUGUUGCAGUUAAAAAGCUCGUAGUUGGAUUUCGGGUGGGACGCAGCGGUCUCGCAUUGCGUUUGUACUGCUGCAGCCCUCCUUCUUGCCGGGGGCGGCCUCUCGGACUUCACUGUCUGGGGGUCAGAAUCGGCGAUGUUACUUUGAGUAAAUUAGAGUGUUCAAAGCAAGCUUACGCUCUGAAUAUAAUAGCAUGGGAUAACACGACAGGACUCUGGCCUAUCGUGUCGGUCUAUAGGACCAGAGUAAUGAUUAAGAGGGACAGUCGGGGGCAUUCGUAUUCCGUUGUCAGAGGUGAAAUUCUUGGAUUUACGGAAGACGAACAUCUGCGAAAGCAUUUGCCAAGGAUGUUUUCAUUGA